AGAGUUUGAUCCUGGCUCAGAACGAACGCUGGCGGCAGGCCUAACACAUGCAAGUCGAACGCCCCGCAAGGGGAGUGGCGCACGGGUGAGUAACGCGUGGGAACCUGCCCUUCGGUUCGGGACAACCCAGGGAAACUUGGGCUAAUACCGGAUGAGCUCCGCGAGGAGGAAAGAUUUCUCGCCGGAGGAGGGGCCCGCGUCGGAUUAGGUAGUUGGUGAGGUAACGGCUCACCAAGCCUUCGAUCCGUAGCCGGUCUGAGAGGAUGAUCGGCCACACUGGGACUGAGACACGGCCCAGACUCCUACGGGAGGCAGCAGUGGGGAAUAUUGGACAAUGGGGGCAACCCUGAUCCAGCCAUGCCGCGUGGAUGAUGAAGGCCUUCGGGUUGUAAAGUCCUUUCGCGCACGACGAUGAUGACGGUAGGCGAGAAGAAGCUU
This 438-nucleotide ribosomal RNA is filed under the name uncultured Inquilinus sp. RNAcentral describes it as "bacterial SSU rRNA". It matches the Rfam family "Bacterial small subunit ribosomal RNA", at positions 8 to 493 of the family's 1533-position model. Lineage: Bacteria; Pseudomonadati; Pseudomonadota; Alphaproteobacteria; Rhodospirillales; Rhodospirillaceae. The record is from RNAcentral.